AUGUCAAACAACCGCCGAGGGGUAGCUCGAGCCCAGCAUUCCCCUCCACCCGUUUCAGUUCCUCAGGUGCGAGGGGUUGGUGUUCAGCUGGUGCCAGCACCCAUUUCUGUGUCAGCUGGAGGCUCAGGUGAGCCUUUCCAGCAAUUUUUCUCGUGUUCAGAAGGCUCAGGAGGAUUAGCUCAGUCACCAUCUCAACCACCAUCACGACAACCUUCACAGCAGCCACCUGUAGCCCAGUCACCUACUCCACCACCGCUUUCAUCUCACGUUCAGUCACCUGUAGCUCAGUCUUCACCCCAGCUACCCAUAGCUCAGGCUCUACCUCACUCAGACUUUCUGCAGACUUUAUUACAGUCCAUAACCCAGUCAGUAGCUCAGUUAAUGGAGGAAUCAUUAGCAUUGUCAACUGCUCAGUCACUCACUCGUCUUCACCCUCAGCCAGGGGUCUCAAUUGCCUCUGGUCCUGCAUCUGCUCCAGCUGGAGGGCCUGAGGAGCCCGUCCAGCCUCCAGUUUCGUCUGCUGGGGGUUCGGGAGAGCCCAGCCAGCCUCAAGUUUCGUCUGCUGGGGGUUCGGGAGAGCCCAGCCAGCCUCAAGUGUCGUCUGCUGGAGGGCCCGAGGAGCCCAGCCAGCCUCAAGUGUCGUCUGCUGGAGGGCCCGAGGAGCCCAGCCAGCCUCAAGUGUCGUCUGCUGGAGGGCCCGAGGAGCCCAGCCAGCCUCAAGUGUCGUCUGCUGGAGGGCCCGAGGAGCCCAGCCAGCCUCAAGUGUCGUCUGCUGGAGGGCCCGAGGAGCCCAGCCAGCCUCAAGUGUCGUCUGCUGGAGGGCCCGAGGGGCCCGUUCAGCCUCCUGUCUCCGCUGGAGGGCCCGAGGGGCCCGUUCAGCCUCCUGUCUCCGCUGGAGGGCCCGAGGGGCCCGUUCAGCCUCCUGUGUCGUCCGCUGGAGGGCCCGAGGGGCCCGUUCAGCCUCCUGUGUCGUCCGCUGGAGGGCCCGAGGGGCCCGUUCAGCACCACACCUCGUUAGCUCAGGGUCCUGGAGGACCCAGACAGCACAUCCUCCCGUCUGCUGGCGGUCCGGGAGGCUGUUCAGCCAUCACCGGCUGAAUCAUCCCCCGCGACAUCUACAUCCACGCUGCAGCCGCAGCUUCAUCCACGCCUGCAGCCGCAGCUUCAUCCACGCCUGCAGCCGCAGCUUCAUCCACGCCUGCAGCCGCAGCUUCAUCCACGCCUGCAGCCGCAGCUUCAUCCACGCCUGCAGCCGCAGCUCAUCCACGCCUGCAGCCGCAGCUUCAUCCACGCCUGCAGCCGCAGCUUCAUCCACGCCUGCAGCCGUCUCGCUGCCGUCAGGUUCCGCAGCCGUCUCGCUGCCGUCAGGUCCAGCCUCUGGUCCAGUUCCGGCUCCGUCCACGCCUGGCCCGGCCUCCGGUCCAGUUCCGGCUCCGUCCACGCCUGGCCCGGCCUCCGGUCCAGUUCCGGCUCCGUCCACGCCUGGCCCGGCCUCCGGUCCAGUUCCGGCUCCGUCCACGCCUGGCUCGGCCUCCGUCUCUUCGUCCACGCCUGGCUCGGCCUCCGUCUCUUCGUCCACGCCUGGCUCGGCAUCCGUGACUUCGCCUUUGCCCUCGUCUGGUCCUGUGGUUGCCACACCGUCAUCGGUUCCGGCUCGUCCUGUAACACCUCGCCUCUGCCGGCCGCUUUCCAGGCCUCUAAUUGGGCGUCAUGGCCAUCGAGGCCGGCCUCCUGAGAGAGACCGUCGCCGCUGCUGGCAUCGCAGCCGACCUCCGGAUCUGCUCAGUGGCCGCCACUGCCUUCCACGUGGCCGGCCUCCUGAUUGGUUUUGCCUGCACCGCCGCCGUUGCCGUGUGCACGGUCGGCCUCCAGAACUGUUUGCCCGUUGCCGUGUGCAUGGCCGGCCCCCUGACCUGUGUUGGCUCCUGUGUGGCCGACCUCCGGGUCGACCUCCUGAACCUUUCCUGGACUCUUGUUGAGCUCUGGUUUUGUUUUGGUUUUGAUGUGCUUUCCUGUGUUUUUGAACUCUUGUGCUCCUUGUUUUUUGUUUGGUUUCUGUCCCUCCAUCCUGGGCCCCUCCACCCGCCCUGGCCUGGUGCUUUGUUGUGCUUUUUUGUUUAGGGUUGUCGGGAGCCAGCCCUUAGAGGGGGGGUACUGUCACGGUUCUGGGUCCGUCGGACCCAGUAUUUUGAGUUUAUUAUAUUUUGGUUUAAUUUUGCAUUAUGGAUUGUUUUCUUAUUCUCUUGUAGUGCUUGUGUUGGUGGUGGCGAUGAUGGUGAUGAUUAUUAUUAUUAUUGGAGUUUCAUGUUUCUGUUUUCGUGUUUUAGGAAUUGUGGUUUCACUUAUAGUUCAGUUCCAUGUGUCAUUUUCUGUCUGUCACUCUGAGUUCGUGUCUUUGAGUAGUGUUUCAUGUUCCUGUUUUAUUGUGAAGGUCUUUGUCUUAUGUUAGUGUGUGCAGCUUGGUUCCCCCGUCUCGUUAGCCCUGAUCCUCCCCAGCUGUGUCUCCCUCCUGUUGCGGAUUCCCUCAUUACCACCCUGUGUAUAUAAGCCCUGUGUUUUCCCAUGCCCGGUGUCGCGUCGUACCCUCAGAUUAUGCCUGUGUGUUUUUGGUUUCUGCAUUCAUGUCAUGUUUAGUUUUCACGUCAGCAAUAAAGCUGUGGUUUUGAUUCACAAUUCUAUGUUCGAGUCCUGCGCUUGGAUCCUCCUCUCCGCCUGCCCGCACACAGAGCCCUGACACAUAACGAGUGUGGCCUCUCUAAACAUCAGUAACUAAGAAAACAUGUAGGUAAAACAGUAGGUAUCCUACUUAUUACUGACUUAAUUAUUUGGGUUAUUAUUAUUAUUAUGCGGAAGCGAAUGGAUGGAUAUUAUUGUGCUUGGGUUUUUAGACUCUACCAGUUACACAGAUGUCUCUUCCUCUGAGCUGUUUAAAGGGGCAGUUUGGCCUUUUAAACAGCCCAGUUUAUCCAAAGCUGUGUAUAUACCAGAUGCUGUCAGGCUUCAAAUGUAUGCAUUCG
This 3017-nucleotide long non-coding RNA is filed under the name Oreochromis niloticus (Nile tilapia). Its description in RNAcentral is "lncRNA (ENSONIG00000028648.1)". The record is from RNAcentral. Lineage: Eukaryota; Metazoa; Chordata; Actinopteri; Cichliformes; Cichlidae.